GUGCCUGUAGCUCAACUGGAUAGAGCGUUAGCCUCCGGAGCUAAAGGUUGGGCGUUCGAGUCGCCCCAGGCACGCCA
RNAcentral lists this transfer RNA (77 nucleotides) under Candidatus Poribacteria bacterium. RNAcentral describes it as "tRNA-Arg". It matches the Rfam family "tRNA". From Rfam's summary of the family: Transfer RNA (tRNA) molecules are approximately 80 nucleotides in length. Their secondary structure includes four short double-helical elements and three loops (D, anti-codon, and T loops). The record is from RNAcentral. Lineage: Bacteria; Candidatus Poribacteria.